UGAUGGCUGACAUUUUACAGAGUCUGAUACGGGGCUGGUCCAGAAGUGCCGGAUCAUACGUGAUGUAGACACUGAAUGUCUGCCUCUCUGGGCUCUCCCUCAGGAGGGCCUCUGUAGAGUACAGGUGAUUAGGAGCAGUUUCUGGCCCAAAAUCAUUCAGUUGUUGUUUGUUUUACUAGCACCACUAAAGCUACAACUGCUCCCAAACUGACCAACCAGAAGAAACAAUAUCAAGUCUUUUGAACAGCUCCACAGGCAAUGGUGACUUCCCAGCCACAAAAUUAGCUUCAUUGCUACUUCAGAACGGUAAGGUUGCUACUGUUAUAAAUUGUAAUGUAAAUAUCUGUUUCCUGAUAGUUUUAGAUGACCCCUGUAAAAGGGUCUUUAGACACCACCCCCAUCAUAGGAGUCUCAGCUUACAGGUUGAGAACCAAUUCUCUAGGGUCUUAAUUAUGUCUGAGUGUUCUACAAACCCCAAGGUCAAGCCACACAUUACAACAUCUUCCUGGUGACAUCUGUCCAUCCUGAGAAUAUGCCCUGUAUGCCCAAGGAAGCCACAGAGAUGCCUCUGAACAAAAUGCCCUACCCAUCUGGGCACUGCUCACUUGGGGACUGGAUCAUUCUUGGCUAUGGGGUUGUUUUGUGUAUUUAAGCAGUGUCCCUGGCCUUGUCUAUCAGAUGCCUGUGUCAACCCUUCCAUGACCACCAAAAAAUGUCACCAGAUGUUGCCAAAUGUCCACUGGGGGGCAAGGUCGCUCUUGAAUAAGAACUUCCACCCCAGGGAAGGCUCUGGGGUUGAGAAAACACAGUAAUUAUUCAACAGGCCUUACCUGGGGUACAAAUCCUUCAGCCUCCAUAAGAGUCGAAGAAUCUAUUCCACUAGCACAGCACUUGGCUAAAGAGAUGCAGGAUGGACGGUGAGAACUCCCUUCAAAACCAGAAACCAUAUCAUGAAUUGUUGUGUCUCUGAGAACUAAGUUGAAUGUCACGGUUGUUCAUGGUAUGAGUCCAUAGACUACAUUUGCUUUAAAAACAUUGAGGGCCUGGGAGAAGGCUCAGUCAGUAAAGUGCUUGCUGUACAAGAGUGAAAAACCUAAAUCUAAGCCCCAGAGCCCAGGUAAGAAGCCAGCGUUGUUUGCCAAUAACCGUAGAGCUGGGGUGAUGGACACAGGUGGGUCCCGGGCGCACAGGCUGGCCAGCCUAGCUGAAUUGCUGAGUCCAGGUCAAUGAGAGACUCUGUCCCCAAGGAAAACUAGGUGAAUGGUACCUGAGAAACAACAUCAUAGCCUGACCUGUGGCCUUCACAUGCACACACACAACUGCACCCACAUAAACACACGUUACUUAACUAAUUAAUCAAAUACUGGAGAGAGCAGUGUGUGGUGAUGUCUAUCUUUAAUCUCACAAACAGAGGCAAAAGGAUUGUGCAUUUGAGGACAGUCUGGGCAACAUUGAAAGACCCUGACUCAAAAUUCUCAUGUGGUAAAAGGUCAAGCUCUGCCCAGUGUGGACUCAAAGUCUCCUCCUGGCUGUCUGUGGAAGACAGCCACUUUCUGAUGCCUGAGGAUCAAGAUGUAAAACUCUCAGCUCCUCCAGCACCAUGUCUGCCUGCAUGCUGCCACACUUCCCACCAUG
This is a long non-coding RNA of Mus musculus (house mouse), 1635 nucleotides long. RefSeq annotates it as predicted gene, 38866. The record is from RefSeq and is a predicted model, not a curated record. NCBI's taxonomy places the organism in Eukaryota, Metazoa, Chordata, Mammalia, Rodentia, Muridae. The transcript is spliced from 3 exons.